GACCUCGGAUCAGGUAGGGAUACCCGCUGAACUUAAGCAUAUCAAUAAGCGGAGGAAAAGAAACCAACAGGGAUUGCCCUAGUAACGGCGAGUGAAGCGGCAACAGCUCAAAUUUGAAAUCUGGCGUCUUUGGCGUCCGAGUUGUAAUUUGCAGAGGGCGCUUUGGCAUUGGCAGCGGUCCAAGUUCCUUGGAACAGGACGUCACAGAGGGUGAGAAUCCCGUACGUGGUCGCUAGCCUUUACCGUGUAAAGCCCCUUCGACGAGUCGAGUUGUUUGGGAAUGCAGCUCUAAAUGGGAGGUAAAUUUCUUCUAAAGCUAAAUACUGGCCAGAGACCGAUAGCGCACAAGUAGAGUGAUCGAAAGAUGAAAAGCACUUUGGAAAGAGAGUUAAAAAGCACGUGAAAUUGUUGAAAGGGAAGCGCUUGCAGCCAGACUUGCCUGUAGUUGCUCAUCCGGGUUUCUACCCGGUGCACUCUUCUACGGGCAGGCCAGCAUCAGUUUGGGCGGUUGGAUAAAGGUCUCUGUCAUGUACCUCCUCUCGGGGAGAACUUAUAGGGGAGACGACAUGCAACCAGCCCGGACUGA
Molecule: ribosomal RNA, 586 nt
Filed under: Phoma herbarum
Lineage: Eukaryota; Fungi; Ascomycota; Dothideomycetes; Pleosporales; Didymellaceae
Description: eukaryotic LSU rRNA
Rfam family: Eukaryotic large subunit ribosomal RNA
Source: RNAcentral